CUGGCUGGGACCGUUUGGCAGCUGUCAGGGCGUCCUCCUGAGUCAGAAUCCGACCAUCCUGCCGCAGACGUUGCGCCCGGCUCGGUUUCCGCCCUCUGCCGCCGACUUCCUCAUUCACCCUCCGCCCCCGGUCGGGCCGAGGCAGGGGCGGGGAGAGGUGCAGUGGGUGCCGGGGAGAGGGACCUGACGGCGGCCACCGGGCUGAGAGGCUGGAAAGACCAGCCCUCCUCCAGCUCCUCGGCCUUUGGGUUCUAUUGCCCUGGGGAGAAGGGCCCGGCGUGCUGGCCGCGGUCGGGCUGCCCAGGCGUGCACCUGAUCCCACAGCCAUCCCGCCUCGCCCGGGGGAGGGACCGGAGGGUGGGAGGUGGCCCAGUCUUCAGGACCGGUCUUGGACUUCUGCAUCUUUCCACUUUGGGCCAGAUGUGGGGGUCCUCCGCCAACCCCUGUCCUCUGGCGGGGGUCCUCACCCCAGCCCGUCCUGACCACGCCUAGGGCAGGACUGCAGCCCCUCGUCCCCGUCCAUCCCUGGAAGGGACAGGGGCAGUUUCAAAACGGAAGCGGAGCGUGUCUCCUCCAGGCCGGGCUUGCUGGCUGUCCGGAACAUGGGACACUGGUUUCACAGUAACCGUUGAGUAACUUUUGAAGGGGAAGAGAGUCUUAGCUCCUCCUGCGUUGCAACACAGUGAUAAUUUCUGACUUCACUCUCAUAGUGUGGGCUUGAUAACUUCACCUGAUGGUUUAUUCUCAUUUCGGUCUCCUGGAGGAGGCCUCUGUCCUUAGGAAGUUGCAGUCUGCAAGGAGAAACAGUGACAGUGACUUCAGUACAAAGGCAUCCUGUGAUAUGUGUCCCAGGCAUGUCACAGACAAAGGACUGGAAUUUCAAGGCUGUUGAAAUCCCUACCGUUGAGGCAAGGAGAGGAGCUGCCAGCAGAAAGAAAGGAGCGCAUUGCAGGGGUCGGAGAUGGGAGAACUUCUCUCUUGCAGGAUGAAAGACACAUGUUAAUCACAGCUUGGCUUUGGCCUGCUCUUGCUCCAGAAAAAACAACAAGGAUCUGUUAGCUCUUAAAAGGAAGAAAAGCACACUCAAAAACUGCAGCAUUGUUGUGUAGCCUGGUUAGGGUAUUACUAGAAACCAGGCUGCCUGAGCUGUCUUCACUUCCUCUUCUAGCUAAUCCUUCAAUAAAGUACUUAAGACAGCCCCUACCAGCUUGACAUCUUUAUUUCAAAAGGAGAGGAGGGGUUGGCUGCUGUUUUCCUC
Molecule: long non-coding RNA, 1258 nt
Organism: Fukomys damarensis (Damara mole-rat)
Lineage: Eukaryota; Metazoa; Chordata; Mammalia; Rodentia; Bathyergidae
Exons: 4
Source: RefSeq, a predicted model, not a curated record